GUGUGUUCCAGGUAAAUCCGGUUCACUUUAACACUGAGGCGUGACGACGAGGCACUACGGUGCUGAAGCAACAAAUGCCCUGCUUCCAGGAAAAGCCUCUAAGCAUCAGGUAACAUCAAAUCGUACCCCAAACCGACACAGGUGGUCAGGUAGAGAAUACCAAGGCGCUUGAGAGAACUCGGGUGAAGGAACUAGGCAAAAUGGUGCCGUAACUUCGGGAGAAGGCACGCUGACACGUAGGUGAAGUGAUUUACUCAUGGAGCUGAAGUCAGUCGAAGAUACCAGCUGGCUGCAACUGUUUAUUAAAAACACAGCACUGUGCAAACACGAAAGUGGACGUAUACGGUGUGACGCCUGCCCGGUGCCGGAAGGUUAAUUGAUGGGGUCAGCGCAAGCGAAGCUCCUGAUCGAAGCCCCGGUAAACGGCGGCCGUAACUAUAACGGUCCUAAGGUAGCGAAAUUCCUUGUCGGGUAAGUUCCGACCUGCACGAAUGGCGUAAUGAUGGCCAGGCUGUCUCCACCCGAGACUCAGUGAAAUUGAACUCGCUGUGAAGAUGCAGUGUACCCGCGGCAAGACGGAAAGACCCCGUGAACCUUUACUAUAGCUUGACACUGAACAUUGAGCCUUGAUGUGUAGGAUAGGUGGGAGGCUUUGAAGUGUGGACGCCAGUCUGCAUGGAGCCGGCCUUGAAAUACCACCCUUUAAUGUUUGAUGUUCUAACGUGGACCCGUUACCCGGGUUGCGGACAGUGUCUGGUGGGUAGUUUGACUGGGGCGGUCUCCUCCUAAAGAGUAACGGAGGAGCACGAAGGUUGGCUAAUCCUGGUCGGACAUCAGGAGGUUAGUGCAAUGGCAUAAGCCAGCUUGACUGCGAGCGUGACGGCGCGAGCAGGUGCGAAAGCAGGUCAUAGUGAUCCGGUGGUUCUGAAUGGAAGGGCCAUCGCUCAACGGAUAAAAGGUACUCCGGGGAUAACAGGCUGAUACCGCCCAAGAGUUCAUAUCGACGGCGGUGUUUGGCACCUCGAUGUCGGCUCAUCACAUCCUGGGGCUGAAGUAGGUCCCAAGGGUAUGGCUGUUCGCCAUUUAAAGUGGUACGCGAGCUGGGUUUAGAACGUCGUGAGACAGUUCGGUCCCUAUCUGCCGUGGGCGCUGGAGAACUGAGGGGGGCUGCUCCUAGUACGAGAGGACCGGAGUGGACGCAUCACUGGUGUUCGGGUUGUCAUGCCAAUGGCACUGCCCGGUAGCUAAAUGCGGAAGAGAUAAGUGCUGAAAGCAUCUAAGCACGAAACUUGCCCCGA
Molecule: ribosomal RNA, 1298 nt
Filed under: Salmonella enterica subsp. enterica serovar Virchow
Lineage: Bacteria; Pseudomonadati; Pseudomonadota; Gammaproteobacteria; Enterobacterales; Enterobacteriaceae
Description: partial 23S ribosomal RNA
Rfam family: Bacterial large subunit ribosomal RNA
Source: RNAcentral